AAAACUAGCCAAUCUUUUGGGUAUGAAACCCAUUUGGGCGAGAGUAGUACUAGGAUGGAUGACCUCCUAGGAAGUCCUCGUGAAAGGGUUUC
Molecule: non-coding RNA, 92 nt
Organism: Triticum aestivum (bread wheat)
Lineage: Eukaryota; Viridiplantae; Streptophyta; Magnoliopsida; Poales; Poaceae
Source: Rfam